GAGGGUAUAGCUCAGUGGGAGAGCCCAUCCUAACAUGCAAAAGGUCCUGGGUUCAAUCCCCAGUACCUCCA
Molecule: transfer RNA, 71 nt
Filed under: Camelus bactrianus (Bactrian camel)
Lineage: Eukaryota; Metazoa; Chordata; Mammalia; Artiodactyla; Camelidae
Also listed under: 2 other names
Rfam family: tRNA
About the family: Transfer RNA (tRNA) molecules are approximately 80 nucleotides in length. Their secondary structure includes four short double-helical elements and three loops (D, anti-codon, and T loops).
Source: Rfam by way of RNAcentral